GCUCAAUGUGGUAUAAAUUACCAUAAAUAGCCGCAGAAUAUUAACUGUGCUAAGGUAGCAUAAUCAUUUGCCUAUUAAUUGUAGACUAGAAUGAAAGGUAAAACAGUUUAUUUACUUUUUUAAUUCUAAUUAAAUAAAAAUUAUACUAAAUAUAAAAAUAUAUUUAUUAACUAAUUAGACGACAAGACCCUAUCGAACUUUACUUAAGUUGAGCUGGGGCAGCUAAUUAAUUAAAAUUUUAAUUAAAUUUGUACAAAUAAUGAUCCAGUCCAACUGAUAAUUUGAUUAAGUUACCGUAGGGAUAACAGCGUAAUUUAUUUUUAAAGUUCUUAUUUAAAAAUAAGAUUGCGACCUCGAUGUUGAAUUAAUUUUCUUUUGUGAGCAAAAUCACAAACAGUAGGUCUGUUCGACCUUUAAAAUUUUACAUGAUUUGAGUUCAAAUCGGUGUAAACCAGAUUGGUUUCUAUCUUUUUUAUAUAUUUCUUAGUACGAAAGGGCCAGAAAAAAUAUUUUAUAAUAAGCUUUAUGGCAGAAUAUUGCAAUAGAUUUAGAAUCUAAACACGUGUUUUUAUGGCCCCCCCCCUAAAUUUAAUC
This 594-nucleotide unclassified non-coding RNA is filed under the name Meta menardi. RNAcentral describes it as "partial contains 16S ribosomal RNA and tRNA-Leu". The stretch from base 177 to 469 matches the Rfam family "Bacterial large subunit ribosomal RNA", at positions 2078 to 2643 of the family's 2925-position model. Lineage: Eukaryota; Metazoa; Arthropoda; Arachnida; Araneae; Tetragnathidae. The record is from RNAcentral.